Non-coding RNA from Camellia sinensis, 413 nucleotides. NCBI's taxonomy places the organism in Eukaryota, Viridiplantae, Streptophyta, Magnoliopsida, Ericales, Theaceae. The record is from RefSeq and is a predicted model, not a curated record.
UAGAGUAUUAUCCAAAACCACUCAUAGAUAGGCAAUGCCACGAGUAUGGUUGCUGAAGUAUGGGAUAUUCACUCAGGUUAUUCCUGGGACAUAAAUAGAUUGUUCAAUUUCAUUAUGUUUAUCGAAAGAUGAAUUCUGUUGCUGAUAGAUUGGCCAAGCAAGCUGUUUUAUCACUGCUCAUCUUACUUGUUUUGUAUUUCCUAUUAUGGAAAGAUGGUUAUAAUCAGCUUUUUGGUGAAAAGCUGCUUAUAAGCAACUUUUUUGUGAGAGAGGAAGUGGGUUAUAAUCUGGGAAGCGGAUCAUAACCCACUUCCCAAAAUAGGUUGUAUUUUUCGACACACUUGAGAUGGCUACCCCCACAUUGUGUAAUUAACAUUUCCUUAUAAAUAAAUAAAAUUCACCUUUUAGAUUUA